UGCGCCGCGCCGCGCCGCUGUACGAAACUACGAAUACGAAACAGUGAUGAACUUUGACUAUACAACCAUGCCAGCCGACCUUUUUACGACCCAGUUUGGCUGACUGGGGAUGUAGUGAACGUAAAAAGCGCCCUCAACCAAGUGGCGAUACAAUGUAAUAACAGUCUAUUAUUUCAUAUUUAUUUCAUUUCUUUUUACUUUAUUUCAAUAUAUAUGUUUAGACAAUUAUAUUAGUAAUAAAUGGGUGUUCAAUGUACAUUCAAUAUAUCCUAAAAUGAUUCUGUUUUCUGCUAACAUGGUUCUGUACUCUGCUAAAACACAAGAUCGUUCUAUAUAUGGAUUCCUACUGUCCGAUCAGAAGAUCUCCGGUUCAAACUUUAUACAAGGAUGACGAUAAUACAAUUUAAAGAACUAUUAUCAUUAGUAGAAGCUGAUUUAAAAAAAAGCAAUAUAUUGUUCGUGAACGAAGUAACGAAGAAGCUGCGUCAAGAAGCUGCAAUCUGUACGUUUAGAAUCCUGCGCAAAAGUUUUCUGCGCAGACGACGCUCGACGCUCGACGUUUUAUCAUGUAAUGGCACCUUUACAUACAGCGGCAUACAGGUCUAGCAACGAGGUCGAAUUUCAAUGGUGGGGGAAGGCAGUUUUUUUUCACCUUAGUCACCGACGAGAUAUUCUUAAAGACCAGCAGCCUUACGGGGAUUCACUUUUAUAAUCGACAAUUAUCGACCAUUUUAUCGACCAUUCGAAUGUACUGAGGGUAACUGUAUAUAUUACAAUGUUUCUGGUCACUGUUUAUCAUCAGAAAGUUAUCUGUGCUUAAAAAUAAAACAAUAAU
Ooceraea biroi (clonal raider ant) is the source of this 835-nucleotide long non-coding RNA. RefSeq lists it as uncharacterized. The record is from RefSeq and is a predicted model, not a curated record. NCBI's taxonomy places the organism in Eukaryota, Metazoa, Arthropoda, Insecta, Hymenoptera, Formicidae.